Molecule: long non-coding RNA, 1031 nt
Organism: Esox lucius (northern pike)
Lineage: Eukaryota; Metazoa; Chordata; Actinopteri; Esociformes; Esocidae
Source: Ensembl
CCCAUGUGUACAUUAUAGCAACAACAGCAUCAGAAGGACACGGAGUACUGUAAACCCCUUCAUCCUACUGUCUGACCGACAAAUCUGGUGACAAAUUAUAUAAAGGCUGAAGUGAAGUAUAAUGGCUGAGUAACAAAAAUGUAAUUAUUGGUUAAUGUUUGCUGAAUCAUAAACAGUUUAGUUCCGUUUUGUUUUUUUCUUUCUCAGAAAUGUGUGGUCUUUUUCAGGUCUAAAAUUAUUUUCCAAAAGCGAAUUCAUGGAAUACAUAUCAGAAUUGGCUACCUGUAUAAAGACAGUGAUUUAAAUAGGCCUAAUACACUAUAACCAGUUGCCAGAGUUUUUCUGGUUGAACCAUGACCUCAAAGGAAAUUUCAUUUGACCUCUUAUUAAAAUCAGUGGUGACCAAUUGAUUUUAACACAUCACAAUCAGUGCAGUUUGAAUGACAAUUAACUAUUCAUAUAGCCUGACAUUUAUAUAAUGUGUAGAUAAUUAAAGAAAUAAAACACACAUUUAAUGGGAACAAACAAGCUGAAACAAUUGCAUAAUUUGCUUGCAUUGUUUUUUUUAUACAGUAACAUUGUACUUAACAGAUUUAAUUAGUGGACAUCAAUUGACUGUAUGCGGGCCAUUCAAAUAAAUAGUACACUAGUUGAAAUGCACAAGUAUGUGUGAUGUAAACACUAAGUAAAAUUUGCUUCUGAAGACUGGAUAAAAGUGGCAGCUAAAUGACUAAAGUUUUACAUAAAAUAAAAAGUGAGUUAUAAUAACGCACACAGGUGUGCUGUAGUAACAACAAGACUUAAACAAAUAGUCUCAUAUUUGAUUAACCUUCUUCCCUAUUUAGUUACACAAUCAAUGGUCUUCAGGCAUGGCGGUACAGUCGCUGGCCAUAGGCUAGAUGCAAACAUGAUAGCCUGAAAGCAAAAAAGAACAAGCAGUAAGUUAUUUGGUAAAACCAAAAAUGCAUCCCCGCAUUAUUUGUUUGCCUUGCAAAUUUAUUUUUUUAGAGCUGACAAUGCCCAGGAUGUCA